Molecule: signal recognition particle RNA, 98 nt
Filed under: Gloeobacterales cyanobacterium ES-bin-141
Lineage: Bacteria; Bacillati; Cyanobacteriota; Cyanophyceae; Gloeobacterales
Description: Bacterial small signal recognition particle RNA
Rfam family: Bacterial small signal recognition particle RNA
About the family: The signal recognition particle (SRP) is a universally conserved ribonucleoprotein involved in the co-translational targeting of proteins to membranes. Archaeal SRP consists of a 7S RNA and homologues of the eukaryotic SRP19 and SRP54 proteins. In most bacteria, the SRP consists of a 4.5S RNA and the Ffh protein (a homologue of the eukaryotic SRP54 protein).
Source: Rfam by way of RNAcentral
AGCCUGGACCCGUGCGACUUAGACGCCUGAACCGUGUCAGGAUCGGAAGGUAGCAGCACUAAGGGAUGCUCGAAGUAGGCGCGGCUGUCCGGGUUUUU